Small nuclear RNA from Sorex fumeus (smoky shrew), 163 nucleotides. RefSeq annotates it as U1 spliceosomal RNA. Lineage: Eukaryota; Metazoa; Chordata; Mammalia; Eulipotyphla; Soricidae. The transcript has a single exon. The record is from RefSeq and is a predicted model, not a curated record.
AUACUUACCUGGCAGGGGAGAUACCGUAAUCAUGAAAGCAGUCUUCCCAGGACAAGUCAUAUCCAUUACACUCCAAAUGUGCUGAUCCCUGUGAUUUACCCAAAUGUGGGGACUCGACUGCAUAUUUUGUGCUAGUGGGGGACAGCGGUCACUCUCUCCCCUA